This 482-nucleotide ribosomal RNA is filed under the name uncultured bacterium. Its description in RNAcentral is "partial 16S ribosomal RNA". It matches the Rfam family "Bacterial small subunit ribosomal RNA", at positions 30 to 507 of the family's 1533-position model. The record is from RNAcentral.
AUUGAACGCUGGCGGCAUGCCUUACACAUGCAAGUCGAACGGUAACAGGUCUUCGGAUGCUGACGAGUGGCGAACGGGUGAGUAAUACAUCGGAACGUGCCCGAUCGUGGGGGAUAACGAGGCGAAAGCUUUGCUAAUACCGCAUACGAUCUACGGAUGGAAGCGGGGGAUCUUCGGACCUCGCGCGGACGGAGCGGCCGAUGGCAGAUUAGGUAGUUGGUGGGAUAAAAGCUUACCAAGCCGACGAUCUGUAGCUGGUCUGAGAGGAUGAUCAGCCACACUGGGACUGAGACACGGCCCAGACUCCUACGGGAGGCAGCAGUGGGGAAUUUUGGACAAUGGGCGAAAGCCUGAUCCAGCCAUGCCGCGUGCAGGAUGAAGGCCUUCGGGUUGUAAACUGCUUUUGUACGGAACGAAAAGCCUCUUUCUAAUAAAGAGGGGUCAUGACGGUACCGUAAGAAUAAGCACCGGCUAACUACGUG